RNAcentral lists this ribosomal RNA (849 nucleotides) under uncultured Actinobacteridae bacterium. RNAcentral describes it as "bacterial SSU rRNA". It matches the Rfam family "Bacterial small subunit ribosomal RNA", at positions 8 to 867 of the family's 1533-position model. Lineage: Bacteria; Bacillati; Actinomycetota; Actinomycetes. The record is from RNAcentral.
AGGGUUUGAUCCUGGCUCAGGAUGAACGCUGGCGGCGUGCUUAACACAUGCAAGUCGAACGAUGAACUCUCACUUGUGGGGGGGAUUAGUGGCGAACGGGUGAGUAACACGUGAGUAACCUGCCCUUGACUCUGGGAUAAGCCUGGGAAACUGGGUCUAAUACUGGAUACGACCAUUCCACGCAUGUGGUGGUGGUGGAAAGCUUUUGUGGUUUUGGAUGGACUCGCGGCCUAUCAGCUUGUUGGUGGGGUAAUGGCCUACCAAGGCGACGACGGGUAGCCGGCCUGAGAGGGUGGACGGCCACACUGGGACUGAGACACGGCCCAGACUCCUACGGGAGGCAGCAGUGGGGAAUAUUGCACAAUGGGCGCAAGCCUGAUGCAGCGACGCCGCGUGAGGGAUGAAGGCCUUCGGGUUGUAAACCUCUUUCAGUAGGGAAGAAGCGUAAGUGACGGUACCUGCAGAAGAAGCGCCGGCUAACUACGUGCCAGCAGCCGCGGUAAUACGUAGGGCGCAAGCGUUAUCCGGAAUUAUUGGGCGUAAAGAGCUCGUAGGCGGUUUGUCGCGUCUGCCGUGAAAGUCCGGGGCUUAACUCCGGAUCUGCGGUGGGUACGGGCAGACUUGAGUGAUGUAGGGGAGACUGGAAUUCCUGGUGUAGCGGUGAAAUGCGCAGAUAUCAGGAGGAACACCGAUGGCGAAGGCAGGUCUCUGGGCAUUAACUGACGCUGAGGAGCGAAAGCAUGGGGAGCGAACAGGAUUAGAUACCCUGGUAGUCCAUGCCGUAAACGUUGGGCACUAGGUGUGGGGGACAUUCCACGUUUUCCGCGCCGUAGCUAACGCAUUAAGUGC